RNAcentral lists this long non-coding RNA (1034 nucleotides) under Ursus maritimus (polar bear). RNAcentral describes it as "lncRNA (ENSUMAG00000002305.1)". The record is from RNAcentral. Lineage: Eukaryota; Metazoa; Chordata; Mammalia; Carnivora; Ursidae.
CAUGCCUUAUGACCACCAGCGUUCCCACCUGCCUGUCUACCCAUGGUAUAUUUUCUACGUGUUUUUGGCUUUGUUUUAGUUUUCCUUCUGAGUUUGGAAGUGAGAAAACCUAAAAAGGAAGAGUUGCAUGUAUCAUCAAAAACAUAUCAAUGGACUACAGCUGGAAUUCUUAAUUUGGAGACCUACUAGUUACGUGACUGGGAAAAUCACCUCCACCCUCUGGCCUUAUUUUAUUGGGGGAAAUUAAUCAAACCCACCGUUUAGCAUUGUUGGAGAGAUCAGCCACACCGCUUACAAUGCUCCAGCCCAGUGACCGAAAUGCCACCGCUGUUGGACUACACGGGGUCCUGCCUCCCCUCUGUGUCUUGCAGCAUCUGUCUCGGAGGCCAGGUUCAUCUUCUGCUUUCCGUACCUUGGAUAAUAACAAAUUAGGGGUGCUGACUGAAGCCGCGCACCAAGGGCAGGGGGGCACCCCUGAGAUCUCACAGCACUCCAUGCUGGCCCCAGGGCCACCAGAACAGCAGCCCCUCCCCCCAACUGUGACCAGCCCUCCCAAGGUCUGUGUCUUGUCAUCAACGGCACUUGUCCACAUUUCCUCAAAGUCAAUUCUACACCAGACACGGACCCCCCACCCCAACACACACACACAAACCCGUGUCUCUGAAUCCUAUACUGCCCAGCCCUGCAGUCACCAGCCACAGGUACGGGACAAUGGCAAUGUGUCCAGUCUGAAUAGAAAUGUGUUGUUAGCAUAAAAUGCACACGGAAGUUUGGACACUGAGCAUAGAUACAAGAAAGGAAAAUAUUUCAUUGUUCCAUAUGAAUGGAGGGCAUCUGGGUGGCUCUGGUUGAGCACCCCACUCUUGAUUUCAGCUCAGGUCGCGAUCUCAGGGUUGUGAGAUCGAACCCCACGACAAUCGAUCCCAGCGUGGAGCCUGCUUAAGAUUCUCUCUCUCCCUCUCCCUCUGCCCCUUCCCUACCCCCUCCCUAAAAAAAUGAAUAAAAAUAAAUAAUUCCAUAUGGUUUGUGGAUUG